UCCAAAGCGCUAUUGUGUCAGACUCAUCUCCCGCUGAAGAGGAUCCAGAUCAAGAGAUUACGGAAAAUCACGCGAGAUAACUGGCUUGCACCUUAUUGGGUUUUUUCAAGGGCAGAGGGGAGAUUCCUGGCGUGCAUCCACUUAAUUUGAAGAAGAACAUCACCUGAUCACCUGUCUGUAAUCCACCUGCUUAAGUUCUGGUCAAGGGGCUCAUCGGCUAUCAAGUUAUAGAUUUCAGUGGCUAAUAGAUGAAGAUGAUGUCCAGCAUCCUGCUGCCUCAUCCUCAGCUCAUGUCUCUGUGCAGCAACAUUUGUAGUGAAUGUGACACAGAGCAGCUAUCAGGCAGAGGAGAAGCAGAACAUCACUCUGGAGUGGACCUUCACCACCAAGACUCAGGGAACCUGGAAGAAUCUGUUCAUCUUCUGCAGCUUGUUGGCUCCUGAUAAAGAACUAGUUCUCUAUCAGGUCCAUGAUGGAGUUGAGAUUCCAGAGUCUCAGGAUGAUCAGUUUUCAGGACGAGUCCAGAGCAACAAAGACGUCCUCAGAGAAGGACGAAUAAGACUCCAUGUGUCCAGACUGAGGACUGAAGACUCUGGUCUGUAUCUGUGUGACGUGAAAACUGAAGAUGGAACCAACAAUGCAGAAUGCCGACUCAGCG
Poeciliopsis prolifica (blackstripe livebearer) is the source of this 658-nucleotide long non-coding RNA. RefSeq lists it as uncharacterized. The transcript is spliced from 4 exons. NCBI's taxonomy places the organism in Eukaryota, Metazoa, Chordata, Actinopteri, Cyprinodontiformes, Poeciliidae. The record is from RefSeq and is a predicted model, not a curated record.